This 254-nucleotide ribosomal RNA is filed under the name uncultured prokaryote. Its description in RNAcentral is "partial 16S ribosomal RNA". It matches the Rfam family "Bacterial small subunit ribosomal RNA", at positions 525 to 777 of the family's 1533-position model. The record is from RNAcentral.
ACGGGGGGGGCAAGCGUUGUUCGGAAUUACUGGGCGUAAAGGGCUCGUAGGCGGCCAACUAAGUCGGACGUGAAAUCCCUCGGCUUAACCGGGGAAUGGCGUCCGAUACUGGAUGGCUCGAGUGUGGGAGAGGGAUGCGGAAUUCCAGGUGUAGCGGUGAAAUGCGUAGAUAUCUGGAGGAACACCGGUGGCGAAGGCGGCAUCCUGGACCACGACUGACGCUGAGUGAGCGAAAGCCAGGGGAGCAAACGGGA